This 436-nucleotide ribosomal RNA is filed under the name uncultured bacterium. RNAcentral's name for it is "partial 16S ribosomal RNA". It matches the Rfam family "Bacterial small subunit ribosomal RNA", at positions 29 to 507 of the family's 1533-position model. The record is from RNAcentral.
AACGAACGCUGGCGGCAUGCCUAACACAUGCAAGUCGAACGAGAUCCUUCGGGGUCUAGUGGCGCACGGGUGCGUAACGCGUGGGAAUCUGCCCUUAGGUUCGGAAUAACAGUUAGAAAUGACUGCUAAUACCGGAUGAUGACGUUAAGUCCAAAGAUUUAUCGCCUGAGGAUGAGCCCGCGUAGGAUUAGCUAGUUGGUGUGGUAAAGGCGCACCAAGGCGACGAUCCUUAGCUGGUCUGAGAGGAUGAUCAGCCACACUGGGACUGAGACACGGCCCAGACUCCUACGGGAGGCAGUAGUGGGGAAUAUUGGACAAUGGGCGCAAGCCUGAUCCAGCAAUGCCGCGUGAGUGAUGAAGGCCUUAGGGUUGUAAAGCUCUUUUACCCGGGAUGAUAAUGACAGUACCGGGAGAAUAAGCCCCGGCUAACUCCGUG